Long non-coding RNA from Acanthochromis polyacanthus (spiny chromis), 3295 nucleotides. RefSeq lists it as uncharacterized. The record is from RefSeq and is a predicted model, not a curated record. The transcript has 2 exons. NCBI's taxonomy places the organism in Eukaryota, Metazoa, Chordata, Actinopteri, Pomacentridae.
UUGACAGCUCCCUGACUCAAUCAACGCCUCCUCCCGUUAGCUCGUAGUAGCAGAGCGAAAAUGGCGUAGAGCGAAGGGUGUCAGGAGCAGAGGGACGACGGGACCUUCUUCUCUCCUCUUCGGCGUGUUUUACGGGGAGAGAAGAGGGUCCAGAGGUUUUGGGUUUAUCCUUCUUGAAUCGUGUCCUCACCGACGCGGUCCCUGUCGGCGGCAUAAACCCGGCGUCCGUCCGGUUGGGCUGAGCUCCGGUGUGUCACCAUAGAGGAAGAAGAACCCCCCCUGGCUUUUGUUUACCAUUGUGUGCAGCUGCAGCCUAAAGCUCAGAGGAAAUAUCUGAGCAUCAUGUCAGAGCUGCUGUCACCAAGGCAGAGAUUUCCAGCUAAUAGAGUCAUGAAACCAGCUGAAGCCCAAACUGGAGAGACGUCUCUCUUCAGAGGAGCUUCACCAACACAUCGCCUCCAUCGCCGCCCAGAAGACCCGCGGAGGUAAAGAGUCACAGUCGGGAUGACCUGUUUGGGGCUUCUGGGACUCGGGUGUCCUCCUUCCUACUGUUGCCGGGACAUCGGGCAUCUCUCCUUCAUAGUAUCCCCUCUAGUCCCGACCUGUUUCUGCGGCCCAAUCAUCCACAAUGAGGACAUCUGCCAGCAUUUCAGGCUGUCUGACCUCCAUCGUACUCGGUCUGGUUACGUCUACAUGUAGCCUAGCGUUAGCCUUGCUGGCCAUAUGUAAACAUAGUCAGUAAAACUUCCCUAAAAAGUAUAAAUCACGAUUACGAUCAAAUUAUCUGCUAAUAUUUUCUGUGAUGAAAGUAAAGACACAAGAUACUGUAGCAAAGAUCAAGGCCUGUGAUUUAAAUUAGACACAUUGUGGGUUUUUUUUUUGUUUGUUUUUCGCACUACCUCAUUGCCAUAGCAAGUCCAACAGGAGUGAAAAGGAUCAGUACCAGUAGCUUCAUGGCUGUCAAGCACCACAGCAGUUUUAUGUGUAUUGUUCCUCGGUUUUUAGUUUUCUGGAGACUUAAUAAGGGAGGUGGUUGACGGGUAAAUAGCAGACAACUGAGCAGCCCACAUGCACAUGAUGCACACUGUCAUUUACUUAUUUUAAUUCACUCAAACUGUGCAUACACUCCUAUGCAUCUACUUUUUAAAGAAGGUUUUUGACGCCAUGUUGUCGUUUUCGCAAAAUUGGCAGUAUUUUCCUCAUGUUCAGCCCUUGAAAAAGAAAUUUGGCAACUUGUGGUGUCCUAACUUUGUCUAUUUAGAGUCCAAUUUUUCUUAUUUUUUAGUCUUUUCCACUAGGGUAGUCAGGUUUAUUUCUUUUAUGCCAUUAAUCCUGACAAAGUAAUCUAACAAUAGAUUAGUUUCCCUGCAAAAUGUAUCAUUUUUUUGCUUUUACUGACCUCUUCUCCUUACCCGAGGGAACCCCUGGUCUCAUUUGUCGCCUUUCUUUGGUUCACUUUUAUGAUUUUCGUAAAAAGUUUUUUGAAAAAAAAUCACAUUUUACCGGGAUUUGUGCAAUAUUUGAUCUUAACUGUCAUGUUGUUGACCAAACUGUAUAUUGUAUAAACAAGUGACAAGUUGUUUGAAAGCAACAAAAUCACCAAUGUCUUCCAUUAAGAUAUGUAUAGACUCAUGUGCAUUAGCUUAUUUAGCGGGACUGUGGUGCCAACAGUAUAGUAGCCAUGCAUGACCAGUAGUGAUGCUUGCUUCAUGAAGAAUAGUGAAAUCCAACUUCUAGACUAAGCUGGAGCUCAAAACUAUGGAAACCAUUCCAGUACAGCCAAACGGUGGUAGAUCGACGUAAAAACGCCACAUUUAGAUUCAGCUUUUGCCCUAAAAUCCUAUUUUUUGUUCCACGUUUAGGUUGAAAUCAAUCAAGGUGUUCAAAUAAUAAGCACAGAUUCAAGUCUUUUAACAUAUGCUCAAUAUAAAUAAGUGCUUUCUUGUGUUCUUGCACAGAAUUAGGUAGUUAAGAUGCCAAAAAUCUCCCUGAAACGCGUCAAUGAUAGAAACCUUUAGAGCAAAUGGUAGAACUUUAAUCUCUGGCUUUGGAUCCGACAUUUAGCGUUUUUAGUCGUAGAAUUAAGAUCUCACCUCGACAUCGCAUUGUACAUAUUACCUCAUAGUUUUUGGGAUUCAGAGCAUUCUAUUUUAAUCCAUAAAAUUGUAUUUGAUUAGAGUUUUAGAAGCAAUAACCUACAAUAAUGCAUGAGUUUAGUGCCAGGGUGUUUAAAGUGUUUAAAGGAUUCUGUAACGUUCCGUGGAAAGGAUCCCCCUUCUCCCACUCUCUUUACGCCUAUGCUUGCUAUCUUUAUUAUUUUCCAGAGUCAUAUAUUUGGCUUUAAAAGCAGCGUUGGGGUUUGGGAUGCCUCCCGCAGACAUGUGAGGACAGCUGUAGCAUCGUGGUGUGAGCAUCCACAGAUUCAACCACUUAUUUCCCUGCCUUGUUUGACACCAAAACAACAAUCCAAACUGAUCGGUACAUGAGAGAUGCUUUAAGAUUUCAACCCUUGUAGCAUUUUUACAUCCGCACAAACAGCCCCCGCCUCUUACCGACAGACUUUUCAGUAACUCUGUGGCUGCAAAGACUCACUGGCCGAACUUGAAAGCACUUUCUCUCUAUGUACUGACUUGCACCGUCAUCAUCUCCAUCCUGUCUUCGAGUACUGUGUUCCUGAAAAACCCUGUAAUGCUCUUUUCCUGGGGAUUUAUAAUCGCGAUUUAUAAGCAAGUAGGCGUCUAGCAACACAUGAAUAUAUGGGUUUAAAAAAUAUGCAUGACUUAGCAGAAUAACGAAUGACUUGUAUUGCAUGCAAUAAUCCAACUUUGUAAUGUGAAUGAGUGUAAUUAGGAUACUGAGAUGUUCAUAUCAAAUGUUCUGUGACGGUUCGUUUGGCACAGCAGCGACAGAAGCAGCUUCGUGCAUCACUUGUGGUUUUACAGACUGACUGCUUAGUCAUGAUACGAGUUUCUGCCGCGUCGCUCUCUGUUGUGUCAGACGUGAGCUGGCGGUACAGCCACAGUGCAGCUGAAAAACACAGAUCAACCUUUGUUCCCAUGAAGAAAAAAAAAGAGAAAAUAAGAACAAAAGCUUAGGUGAGAUUACCGACAUUACUUUGUUGAUCAACUUUUCCACUGAGGAAGUGGACUGUGUAGAAACUAUGCACUCCAAAGGGAGGAAAUGGGCAUGCUUAUUAUGUGUGAGCCUCUUGUCUGGUUUUGUAUCAACUUAAUAUGAAAAAAUAUGAAUCUGUAUCAGAAAUUCAGCAAUAAAAUGCAGCAUGGUGCCAAUUGGA